ACCCUGAGUAGCUCAGUCAGUAGAGUAUUAGGCUCUCAAUCUGAAGGUCCAGGGUUCAAUUCCCUGUUUGGGUG
Protopterus annectens (West African lungfish) is the source of this 74-nucleotide non-coding RNA. The record is from the annotation of a RefSeq genome assembly. NCBI's taxonomy places the organism in Eukaryota, Metazoa, Chordata, Ceratodontiformes, Protopteridae.